GCCUCGGUAGCUCAGUUGGCAGUUUCGAGAGAAGCAGACAAAGUCUGCUUCGACCAGCAGCAGAGCGAUCGGCUUGUAACCGAUAGGUCGGGGGUUCGAAUGGCGCAUGAAGCAGGUUUCACCUGCUUCCGUCUGAAUAUCCCUCCCGAGGCU
Molecule: transfer RNA, 153 nt
Filed under: Candidatus Aenigmatarchaeota archaeon
Lineage: Archaea; Nanobdellati; Candidatus Aenigmatarchaeota
Description: tRNA-Thr
Source: RNAcentral